GUGCUCACUGCAAGUACAGAGGAUGCCCUUGUCAAGGUGUUUAAUGACAUCCAUUUAGGUAAAUGCAUAUUGUGGAAAAACCACAGUGCAUGUAUUAUUGAACCUCAGUGCAGCAUUUGGUACUGUUGAUCACUCCAUUUUGUCACAGCACCUGGAAAAUGGGUCGGCCUUUAUGGUACAGCACUUGACUGUGUCAGGGUUCUCUGUGUGUUGGUGCUCUAACUCUGCUCCACAGGUGGUUCUAGUAAGCCGAGGGGCGUGGCCCACACCUGCGGCUCGUUGGAGCAGUAAUUCACUGGCGUGUUAAGGAAGGCACAGACAGAUGGAAGAUGCCAGAGCCUUACCCAGUCGUGUUUGGCUUUUUGGAUACUUACCCGCCUUUACUUCUCAUUCGACGAACCAGCCUCUCGUGAAUCAGCUAUGCUCAGAUGUUGCUCUGGCAUUCCUCCUCCUACUCCCUUGGCGUUACCAAGUCGGGCUCGAGGUUUCCCCUCCCUGGAUUCUGCUGGUUCCCUCCGUUCUCUGGUUAAUCCAUCUGUCACCUUUUGCCGUGGUUCGCUCCGGUUCCCUCGCCGACUUACCAUCAGCCCGCCCUCCUGUUGCUAGCCACCUGUUUGCCAUCGUGAGCAUUCGACUCCAGAGUUCCCCCGGCAAUACUUUCCCGGUUAGAUCAGCCCAACUAAAUGUUUCUCCAGCAUUGACGUUCAGACCUCGAUAGAUCCAGUCUACUGUGUCGUUCUCUGCAGCCUGAACUUAAAUAAACAUCUUAAACUGC
Molecule: long non-coding RNA, 775 nt
Organism: Fundulus heteroclitus (mummichog)
Lineage: Eukaryota; Metazoa; Chordata; Actinopteri; Cyprinodontiformes; Fundulidae
Exons: 2
Source: RefSeq, a predicted model, not a curated record